Molecule: ribosomal RNA, 253 nt
Filed under: uncultured bacterium
Lineage: Bacteria
Description: partial 16S ribosomal RNA
Rfam family: Bacterial small subunit ribosomal RNA
Source: RNAcentral
UACGUAGGCAGCGAGCGUUGUUCGGAGUUACUGGGCGUAAAGGGUGUGUAGGCGGUUGUUUAAGUUUGGUGUGAAAUCUCCCGGCCCAACUGGGAGGGUGCGCCGAAUACUGAAUGACUAGAGUGCGGGAGAGGUGAGUGGAAUUCCUGGUGUAGCGGUGAAAUGCGUAGAUAUCAGGAGGAACACCGGUGGUGUAGACGGCUCACUGGACCGUAACUGACGCUGAGACACGAAAGCGUGGGUAGCAAACAGG